AUAACAAUACCGAGCUCUAUGAGUCUGGUAAUUGGAAUGAGUACAAUCUAAAUCCCUUAACGAGGAUCCAUUGGAGGGAAACUCUGGUGACAGCAGCCACGGUAAUUGUAAGGCCCCGU
This 119-nucleotide ribosomal RNA is filed under the name Nicotiana attenuata. Its description in RNAcentral is "rRNA SSU_rRNA_eukarya". It matches the Rfam family "Eukaryotic small subunit ribosomal RNA", at positions 477 to 594 of the family's 1831-position model. Lineage: Eukaryota; Viridiplantae; Streptophyta; Magnoliopsida; Solanales; Solanaceae. The record is from RNAcentral.